GGCAGUUUUUACUGUUCGAACUUUACUGCUUCAUCCUUCUCGUCGCCUUGGAUGUUGUUAUUUCUCCGGCUUUUGGUCUUAAACUGCUCUCUUUCUCGUCUACUGAUAGCCGUAGAUGUGUUUUUAUAGCUUUGGGUAUGUGACUGCCUGGAACAACUUGCCUCGGGCAACUAGAUUUUGUUGCAGCUUUCAGCACUGAUCCACACUGAGCUGCAGAACUAGAUCCCUUCACCAGUACUUCCAACCAACCCCCUUCACCAGUACUCCCAACCAGUGUGCCUUUCACCAUUACUUCCAACCAGGCCCCUUCACCAGUUCAAUUGCAAUAACAACUCAAGUCACCACCUACACUACAGUGCAUUAAUAUCUCCAAUCAAAUGUCUUCCUUUGAAAGAAUUUUGGACAAGAGGUUAAGAGCUACCUGUUUUGAAGCAAGUCUGACCUAUCCUCCAGAAGGUAUCAUAAAAAUCGUCUGCUGGAGACAACUACUGUCCCUACCACCAUGGCAUGAUGACUUCUAUCAACUGGUACCACCAAACCUAUCUGUUAGCCAUGCCAACACCACCAUAGCAUGACCUCUACCAACUGGCACCUGUAGACCAAUCUCAAACUUGAGACUCAUAAAAACUCGUGUUACUAAUAUUGCAUUUUCUCUCUCUCUCUCUCUCUCUCUCUCUCUCUCUCUCUCUCUCUCUCUCUCUCUCUCUACACCACAGCCAACAGACCUACAGUAUGGUACCCACAGUAUGUUGUUUAUGAACCAGUCACUCUCUCUCUCUCUCUCUCUCUCUCUCUCUCUCUCUCUCUCUCUCUCUCUCUCUCUCUCUCUCUCUCUCUCUCUAAGCUCAGACCCACAGUAUGUUUACAAACCACAAAAUGCUGGUGCCUCUACCCAUAUGUGUGUGCUAAGAAAUAUUCUAGCAUGCUUAUAUGAAAAGUAUCAAACUAUAAAUUUGAAAUUCAUUCUUCCAAAAUUACUUGCAAAUUUAACCACAAAAAUUUUUUUUUCACCUGCCAUGCAACCAAUAAUGCUGCUUGCUUGUGUGCUGGCUUCCCCCUGCUAUACAACCCAUUCAGUCCUAGUUUGCAACUGGCUUCAGCUACUUCGGAAACCUCAUUGGUGAUUGGACAGGGAAUUCCAACCCUUAUUGCUGGCUGGGCCAUGGCUCCAUCAGCCUCUCUUGUUUAUUAAUUUAAAUUCUCUUCCCUGUAUCUUCCUUAUUUCGUACAAUACUUCAUUUAUCACUGAAGAAAAACAAUGAAAAAAGUUGAAAUCAAUGACGAAGGUGAAAAUGUUUAUAUUGCUUGUUGUUCUUUGCUGGUCUUUUUAUAAAAUCAUCAUAAUGGUUUGAGAAUACUAGUUUGUGAUAGACAAGGUUCAGAAGAUAUUGUUCACCUGUCAUCAGAUUUUAGAUAUGGUAGAAAGGAAGUGGUAUGCAACUUUAUCUCUCAAGCUGUUAGUGCAAGACAACACCUGUGUACAUGUAUUUGUACUCACAAUGAUGAGCUGGUGCUGUCUUGUGCCUGUGGCUCUGGAUAAAAAGCUGCUUACCAUUCCUCCUUUCUGACAUAUCACAUAUAUAGUGGUAUCAUCAUAAUUCCAUGGGAAAAAAAAAAAAAAAAAAAAAAAGCAAGAUGAACCUUUCCAGCUCAGUAAUACAUAUUACAGAAAACAAGAGAGAUGCAGGAUGAGAAAAUUAGACCUGUAGUAAGGAGUGGCCAGCAUCUCCAGUGAGCAGAAGACAGACUAGCUGAGCCACAGACCAGUCAGUAACAAGGUACAAGAGCCAGUGUCCAAUCAGCAGCAAGGUUACAAAAGCAGCUUAGGAUUAUAGCCACAACCAAGUACCACAUACAAUAGAAUUUUACAGCAGGAACACUACAACUAAUCUGGUAACAGUUUGCAUCAGGUGUGUUUGGAGUCAAAGUCAACAGCUUCAUGAGGACUGACUUAUCUAAGCUCAAACUAAUUGCUUUUAACAGUGAUCUUGUAUAACAAAA
This is a long non-coding RNA of Scylla paramamosain (green mud crab), 2001 nucleotides long. RefSeq lists it as uncharacterized. NCBI's taxonomy places the organism in Eukaryota, Metazoa, Arthropoda, Malacostraca, Decapoda, Portunidae. The transcript is spliced from 4 exons. The record is from RefSeq and is a predicted model, not a curated record.